AGCAGCCGCGGUAAUUCCAGCUCCAAUAGCGUAUAUUAAAGUUGUUGCAGUUAAAAAGCUCGUAGUUGAAUUUCGGGAUCAAUGCGUCGGUCGUGCCUUCGGUACGUACUAGCGUCAUUGAUUCCUCCCUUCUGAAGAACCGUGAUGUCAUUAAUUUGGUGUUACGGGGAAUCAGGACUGUUACCUUGAAAAAAUUAGAGUGUUUAAAGCAGGCUAACGCUUGAAUACAUUAGCAUGGAAUAAUGAAAUAGGACGUUCGAACCUAUUUUGUUGGUUUCUAGGAUCGACGUAAUGAUUAAUAGGGAUAGUUGGGGGCAUUAGUAUUCAAUUGUCAGAGGUGAAAUUCUUGGAUUUAUUGAAGACUAACUACUGCGAAAGCAUUUGCCAAGGAUG
This 393-nucleotide unclassified non-coding RNA is filed under the name uncultured Glomus. RNAcentral's name for it is "SSU rRNA". It matches the Rfam family "Eukaryotic small subunit ribosomal RNA", at positions 569 to 966 of the family's 1831-position model. Lineage: Eukaryota; Fungi; Glomeromycota; Glomeromycetes; Glomerales; Glomeraceae. The record is from RNAcentral.